This is a long non-coding RNA of Sitophilus oryzae (rice weevil), 848 nucleotides long. RefSeq lists it as uncharacterized. NCBI's taxonomy places the organism in Eukaryota, Metazoa, Arthropoda, Insecta, Coleoptera, Curculionidae. The transcript is spliced from 3 exons. The record is from RefSeq and is a predicted model, not a curated record.
AAAUUUGUUUUAUUAGUAUACCGCUGACAAGUUGGUCUCCGUUGGAUUAACGCAGCGGCGUUUACAAAAAAUAACUAUUUUAUUUUGUAGAUUUUGUUACAGUACAAGUGGCGAAAUACCCAGCCCAGAAGACUUUUUUGGACCCCUUUUACAAUUCUGAUAUUAAACCAUCAUUCUGAACAUUGGUUUUCCAUAAUCCGAUUAUAAGUACAGAUAUGUAAUAAUACAUGAUACGAGCUUCUUAUGAAGAUAAGAAAGGAGGAUAAACCAAGAAAAAUGGAAAGAAAGAGAUUUUCUUUGGGGAAGAUGUGUGCGUAGAAAUUCAUAAGAUGUGCGUAGAGAUUCAUAAGAAAACCUCACCGAUUGUACUCUGCUUUUCAAUGAAAGUGUGUGCCAAUAAAGAAUAAAGCUGGGGUAACAAGAUUGGAAUCCUUGAGAUGGUUUCUGCUUCUAAUUGUUGCUUUCAAAUCAUUCCUCCAAAUAGGAAAUUAUACUCUCGAACAUUCAAAUCCAUGGACUCUAUGCUGUACCUCCCGAACAUGCUUUUUUCUUUGAUAUAUAGAUAAUUUAAAUCUUAAUGGUGGUUCUACACUGUUAGAAAUGUAUUAUUGUUAUGAAGAGAUGCAGUGCAUAAGAAAUAUUUGCAUGAUACUGGAAAUACGAACAUCCGGUAUACAUCAGAGAGAAAAUCUAUAGAAGAAUCAACGAGCAAUCCAAGGGGUUAUGCUAUAUGGGAUGUAUAAUAUCAUGUUUUUUUUUGUAUCAUGGAAUAAUAUGUUUAACAAUAUUAAUUGUGUUAAUUGUAGGUAUUUAUAAGCUAUUCUUUUUCUAAUAAAUUUUAAUAAAUG